RNAcentral lists this transfer RNA (73 nucleotides) under Dimargaris cristalligena. It matches the Rfam family "tRNA". From Rfam's summary of the family: Transfer RNA (tRNA) molecules are approximately 80 nucleotides in length. The record is from Rfam by way of RNAcentral. Lineage: Eukaryota; Fungi; Kickxellomycota; Dimargaritomycetes; Dimargaritales; Dimargaritaceae.
AGGAGUUUAGCUUAAUUGGUAGAGCACUAAUCUUACAAAUUAGCAUAUAUAGGUUCGAAUCCUAUAUCUCCUA